GACGAACGCUGGCGGCGUGCUUAACACAUGCAAGUCGAGCGGUAAGGCCUUUCGGGGUACACGAGCGGCGAACGGGUGAGUAACACGUGGGUGAUCUGCCCUGCACUUCGGGAUAAGCCUGGGAAACUGGGUCUAAUACCGGAUAUGACCUCCUAUCGCAUGGUGGGUGGUGGAAAGAUUUAUCGGUACAGGAUGGGCCCGCGGCCUAUCAGCUUGUUGGUGGGGUAAUGGCCUACCAAGGCGACGACGGGUAGCCGACCUGAGAGGGUGACCGGCCACACUGGGACUGAGACACGGCCCAGACUCCUACGGGAGGCAGCAGUGGGGAAUAUUGCACAAUGGGCGAAAGCCUGAUGCAGCGACGCCGCGUGAGGGAUGACGGCCUUCGGGUUGUAAACCUCUUUCAGCAGGGACGAAGCGCAAGUGACGGUACCUGCAGAAGAAGCACCGGCUAACUACGUG
RNAcentral lists this ribosomal RNA (462 nucleotides) under uncultured bacterium. Its description in RNAcentral is "partial 16S ribosomal RNA". It matches the Rfam family "Bacterial small subunit ribosomal RNA", at positions 28 to 507 of the family's 1533-position model. The record is from RNAcentral.